GACGUAGGGCGCGAGCGUUGUCCGGAUUUAUUGGGCGUAAAGAGCUCGUAGGCGGCUUGUCGCGUCGUCCGUGAAAACUUGGGGCUCAACCCCAAGCUUGCGGUCGAUACGGGCAGGCUAGAGUUCGGUAGGGGAGACUGGAAUUCCUGGUGUAGCGGUGAAAUGCGCAGAUAUCAGGAGGAACACCGAUGGCGAAGGCAGGUCUCUGGGCUGACACUGACGCUCAUGCACGAAAGCGUGGGGAGCAAACAGG
RNAcentral lists this ribosomal RNA (253 nucleotides) under uncultured bacterium. RNAcentral's name for it is "partial 16S ribosomal RNA". It matches the Rfam family "Bacterial small subunit ribosomal RNA", at positions 524 to 776 of the family's 1533-position model. The record is from RNAcentral.